CAUUGUGCUUGCACAGAUGACGACCGGCGCACGGGUGCGUAACGCGUAUAGAACCUACCUUUUACAGGGGAAUAGCCUUUAGAAAUGAAGAUUAAUGCCCCAUGGUAUUGAGGAAUCGCAUGAUUUCUUAAUUAAAGAUUUAUCGGUAAAAGAUGGCUAUGCGUCCUAUUAGUUAGUUGGUAAGGUAACGGCUUACCAAGACAGCGAUAGGUAGGGGUCCUGAGAGGGAGAUCCCCCACACUGGUACUGAGACACGGACCAGACUCCUACGGGAGGCAGCAGUGAGGAAUAUUGGACAAUGGAGGAGACUCUGAUCCAGCCAUGCCGCGUGUAGGAAGAAUGCCCUAUGGGUUGUAAACUACUUUUAUACAGGAAGAAACACUGGUAUGUAUACCAGCUUGACGGUACUGUAAGAAUAAGGACCGGCUAACUCCGUGCCAGCAGCCGCGGUAAUACGGAGGGUCCGAGCGUUAUCCGGAAUCAUUGGGUUUAAAGGGUCCGCAGGCGGUCAAUUAAGUCAGAGGUGAAAUCCCAUAGCUUAACUAUGGAACUGCCUUUGAUACUGGUUGACUUGAGUCAUAUGGAAGUAGAUAGAAUGUGUAGUGUAGCGGUGAAAUGCAUAGAUAUUACACAGAAUACCGAUUGCGAAGGCAGUCUACUACGUAUG
This 667-nucleotide ribosomal RNA is filed under the name uncultured bacterium. RNAcentral's name for it is "bacterial SSU rRNA". It matches the Rfam family "Bacterial small subunit ribosomal RNA", at positions 72 to 737 of the family's 1533-position model. The record is from RNAcentral.